This 301-nucleotide ribosomal RNA is filed under the name uncultured bacterium. RNAcentral's name for it is "partial 16S ribosomal RNA". It matches the Rfam family "Bacterial small subunit ribosomal RNA", at positions 509 to 807 of the family's 1533-position model. The record is from RNAcentral.
CAGCCGCCGCGGUAAUACGUAGGGUGCAAGCGUUGUCCGGAAUUAUUGGGCGUAAAGAGCGUGUAGGCGGCUCGACAAGUCCGCUGUGAAAGUCCAGGGCUCAACCCUGGAAUGCCGGUGGAUACUGUCGAGCUAGAGUCCGGAAGGGGCGAGUGGAACUCCCGGUGUAGCGGUGAAAUGCGCAGAUAUCAGGAAGAACACCAAUGGCGAAGGCAGCUCGCUGGGACGUGACUGACGCUGAGACGCGAAAGCGUGGGGAGCGAACAGGAUUAGAUACCCGCGUAGUCCCUGUCUCUUAUAC